This 512-nucleotide ribosomal RNA is filed under the name uncultured bacterium. RNAcentral's name for it is "partial 16S ribosomal RNA". It matches the Rfam family "Bacterial small subunit ribosomal RNA", at positions 28 to 523 of the family's 1533-position model. The record is from RNAcentral.
GAUGAACGCUGGCGGCGUGCCUAAUACAUGCAAGUCGAACGAGAGGAAGGAAAGCUUGCUUUUCUGAAUCUAGUGGCGAACGGGUGAGUAACACGUAGGUAACCUGCCCAUGUGCCCGGGAUAACUUCUGGAAACGGAUGCUAAAACCGGAUAGGUAGCAGACAAGCAUUUGACUGCUAUUAAAGUGGCUAAGGCCAUGAACAUGGAUGGACCUGCGGUGCAUUAGCUAGUUGGUGAGGUAACGGCCCACCAAGGCGACGAUGCAUAGCCGGCCUUGGAGGGCGGACGGCCACAUUAGGACUGAGACACGGCCCAAACUCCUACGGGAGGCAGCAGUAGGGAAUUUUCGUCAAUGGGGGGAACCCUGAACGAGCAAUGCCGCGUGAGUGAGGAAGGUCUUCGGAUCGUAAAGCUCUGUUGUAAGAGAAAAACGACAUUCAUAGGGAAUGAUGAGUGAGUGAUGGUAUCUUACCAGAAAGUCACGGCUAACUACGUGCCAGCCGCCGCGGUAA